AACCCAAAGGACUUGGCGGUGCUUCAAACCCACCUAGAGGAGCCUGUUCUAUAACCGAUAAUCCUCGUUAAACCUCACCACCCCUUGCCAAAUACCGCCUAUAUACCGCCGUCGUCAGCUUACCUCUUGAGAGCCUCAUAGUAAGCCCAAUGGGCUGCGCCCAGCACGUCAGGUCGAGGUGUAGCGAAUGGGGUGGAACGAAAUGGGCUACAUUUUC
Molecule: ribosomal RNA, 217 nt
Filed under: Avocettina infans (avocet snipe-eel)
Lineage: Eukaryota; Metazoa; Chordata; Actinopteri; Anguilliformes; Nemichthyidae
Description: partial 12S ribosomal RNA
Rfam family: Bacterial small subunit ribosomal RNA
Source: RNAcentral